AGGGAAACCGAGUCUUAAUUGGGCGUUAAGUUGCAGGGUAUAGACCCGAAACCCGGUGAUCUAGCCAUGGGCAGGUUGAAGGUUGGGUAACACUAACUGGAGGACCGAACCGACUAAUGUUGAAAAAUUAGCGGAUGACCUGUGGCUGGGGGUGAAAGGCCAAUCAAACCGGGAGAUAGCUGGUUCUCCCCGAAAGCUAUUUAGGUAGCGCCUCGUGAAUUCAUCUCCGGGGGUAGAGCACUGUUUCGGCUAGGGGGCCAUCCCGGCUUACCAACCCGAUGCAAACUGCGAAUACCGGAGAAUGUUAUCACGGGAGACACACGGCGGGUGCUAACGUCCGUCGUGAAGAGGGAAACAACCCAGACCGCCAGCUAAGGUCCCAAAGUCAUGGUUAAGUGGGAAACGAUGUGGGAAGGCCCAGACAGCCAGGAUGUUGGCUUAGAAGCAGCCAUCAUUUAAAGAAAGCGUAAUAGCUCACUGGUCGAGUCGGCCUGCGCGGAAGAUGUAACGGGGCUAAACCAUGCAC
RNAcentral lists this ribosomal RNA (526 nucleotides) under Salmonella enterica subsp. enterica serovar Cerro. Its description in RNAcentral is "partial 23S ribosomal RNA". It matches the Rfam family "Bacterial large subunit ribosomal RNA", at positions 670 to 1194 of the family's 2925-position model. The record is from RNAcentral. Lineage: Bacteria; Pseudomonadati; Pseudomonadota; Gammaproteobacteria; Enterobacterales; Enterobacteriaceae.